RNAcentral lists this transfer RNA (91 nucleotides) under Clostridiales bacterium. RNAcentral's name for it is "tRNA-Ser". It matches the Rfam family "tRNA". Rfam says of the family: Transfer RNA (tRNA) molecules are approximately 80 nucleotides in length. Their secondary structure includes four short double-helical elements and three loops (D, anti-codon, and T loops). RNAcentral also lists the same sequence under 2 other names. The record is from RNAcentral. Lineage: Bacteria; Bacillati; Bacillota; Clostridia; Eubacteriales.
GGAGCAAUACUCAAGUGGUUGAAGAGUCCAGUUUCGAAAACUGGUAGGUCGAGUAAUCGGCGCGGGGGUUCAAAUCCCUCUUGCUCCGCCA